UGCUGACUGGCUUGCUGACCUGACU
RNAcentral lists this non-coding RNA (25 nucleotides) under Mus musculus (house mouse). The record is from RNAcentral. Lineage: Eukaryota; Metazoa; Chordata; Mammalia; Rodentia; Muridae.